Molecule: ribosomal RNA, 482 nt
Filed under: uncultured bacterium
Lineage: Bacteria
Description: bacterial SSU rRNA
Rfam family: Bacterial small subunit ribosomal RNA
Source: RNAcentral
UUGAACGCUGGCGGCAUGCUUUACACAUGCAAGUCGAACGGUAACAGGGAGCUUGCUCCGCUGACGAGUGGCGAACGGGUGAGUAAUGCAUCGGAACGUACCCAGUCGUGGGGGAUAACUACGCGAAAGCGUAGCUAAUACCGCAUACGUCCUGAGGGAGAAAGCGGGGGAUCUUCGGACCUCGCGCGAUUGGAGCGGCCGAUGUCGGAUUAGCUAGUAGGUGAGGUAAAGGCUCACCUAGGCGACGAUCCGUAGCGGGUCUGAGAGGAUGAUCCGCCACACUGGGACUGAGACACGGCCCAGACUCCUACGGGAGGCAGCAGUGGGGAAUUUUGGACAAUGGGCGCAAGCCUGAUCCAGCCAUGCCGCGUGAGUGAAGAAGGCCUUCGGGUUGUAAAGCUCUUUCGGCCGGGAAGAAAUCGUGGUCUCUAACAUAGGCCAUGGAUGACGGUACCGGACUAAGAAGCACCGGCUAACUACGU